RNAcentral lists this long non-coding RNA (225 nucleotides) under Elaeis guineensis (African oil palm). RNAcentral's name for it is "long non-coding RNA (EGUI_LNC062920)". The record is from RNAcentral. Lineage: Eukaryota; Viridiplantae; Streptophyta; Magnoliopsida; Arecales; Arecaceae.
UGCCUCUCUUCCUUUUGAAGACCCUUCAGGUGGGUCAACCAAUGUCCAUACAUCAUUGAUCUUCAUGGACUCCAUUUCGGAUUUCAUGGCUUCAAGCCAUUUCUUGGAAUCUGAUCUCUGCAUUGCAUCCAUAUAGGUGAUCAGAUCCUCAUCAUUCUCAUCGAGUUCGAUGGGAUCACCGUCUCGGAUCAAGAAAUCGUAGUAUCUGUCCAGCUGAUGCAGUAC